Molecule: ribosomal RNA, 426 nt
Filed under: uncultured bacterium
Lineage: Bacteria
Description: partial 16S ribosomal RNA
Rfam family: Bacterial small subunit ribosomal RNA
Source: RNAcentral
GGGGGGAAUAUUGCACAAUGGAGGAAACUCUGAUGCAGCGAUGCCGCGUGAGGGAAGAAGGUUUUAGGAUUGUAAACCUCUGUCUUCAGGGACGAAAAAAGACGGUACCUGAGGAGGAAGCUCCGGCUAACUACGUGCCAGCAGCCGCGGUAAUACGUAGGGAGCGAGCGUUGUCCGGAAUUACUGGGUGUAAAGGGAGCGUAGGCGGGAUCGCAAGUCAGAUGUGAAAACUAUGGGCUUAACCCAUAAACUGCAUUUGAAGCUGUGGUUCUUGAGUGAAGUAGAGGUAAGCGGAAGUCCUAGUGUAGCGGUGAAAUGCGUAGAUAUUAGGAGGAACAUCAGUGGCGAAGGCGGCUUACUGGGCUUUAACUGACGCUGAGGCUCGAAAGCGUGGGGAGCAAACAGGAUUAGAAACCCUUGUAGUCC